GAUGAACGCUAGCGGCAGGCUUAAUACAUGCAAGUCGAGGGGCAGCGGGGGUAGCAAUACCUGCCGGCGACCGGCAAACGGGUGCGGAACACGUACAGAACCUUCCUUUAAGUGGGGGAUAGCCCGAAGAAAUUCGGAUUAAUACCCCGUAACAUUGUGUAGUGGCAUCACUAUAUAAUUAUAGAUUUAUCGCUUAGAGAUGGCUGUGCGGCUGAUUAGGUAGUUGGUGGAGGUAACGGCNCACCAAGCCUUCGAUCAGUAACUGGUGUGAGAGCACGACCAGUCACACGGGCACUGAGACACGGGCCCGACUCCUACGGGAGGCAGCAGUAAGGAAUAUUGGGCAAUGGACGCAAGUCUGACCCAGCCAUGCCGCGUGAAGGAUGAAGGUCCUCUGGAUUGUUAAACUUCUUUUAUAGGGAAGAAACCCUAUUUUUCUAAAGUGUUGACGUACCCUAGAAUAAGCACCGGCUAACUCCGUGCCAGCCGCCGC
Molecule: ribosomal RNA, 493 nt
Filed under: uncultured bacterium
Lineage: Bacteria
Description: bacterial SSU rRNA
Rfam family: Bacterial small subunit ribosomal RNA
Source: RNAcentral